RNAcentral lists this ribosomal RNA (146 nucleotides) under uncultured eukaryote. Its description in RNAcentral is "partial small subunit ribosomal RNA". It matches the Rfam family "Eukaryotic small subunit ribosomal RNA", at positions 1296 to 1460 of the family's 1831-position model. The record is from RNAcentral.
AGUUGGUGGAGUGAUUUGUCUGGUUAAUUCCGAUAACGAACGAGACCUUAACCUGCUAACUAGUCACGGGAAGCCUUGUGCUUGCCGGCCGACUUCUUAGAGGGACAGUCUGUUUCCAGCAGAUGGAGGUGUGAGGCGAUAACAGG